UGCAACGCGAAGAACCUUACUGGCUUGACAUCCCGAGAAUCCCCUGGAAACAGGAGAGUGCCUUCGGGAACUCGGUGACAGGUGCUGCAUGGCUGUCGUCAGCUCGUGUCGUGAGAUGUUGGGUUAAGUCCCGCAACGAGCGCAACCCUUGUCACUAGUUGCCAUCAUUUGGUUGGGCACUCUAGUGAGACUGCCGGUGACAAACCGGAGGAAGUGGGGAUGACGUCAAGUCCUCAUGGCCCUUAUGGGUAGGGCUUCACACGUCAUACAAUGGUCGGUACAGAGGGUUGCCAAGCCGCGAGGUGGAGCCAAUCCCUUAAAGCCGAUCGUAGUCCGGAUCGUAGUCUGCAACUCGACUACGUGAAGUCGGAAUCGCUAGUAAUCGUAGAUCAGCAUGCUGCGGUGAAUACGUUCCCGGGUCUU
This 423-nucleotide ribosomal RNA is filed under the name uncultured Thauera sp. RNAcentral's name for it is "bacterial SSU rRNA". It matches the Rfam family "Bacterial small subunit ribosomal RNA", at positions 955 to 1382 of the family's 1533-position model. The record is from RNAcentral. Lineage: Bacteria; Pseudomonadati; Pseudomonadota; Betaproteobacteria; Rhodocyclales; Zoogloeaceae.